RNAcentral lists this ribosomal RNA (495 nucleotides) under uncultured bacterium. RNAcentral describes it as "partial 16S ribosomal RNA". It matches the Rfam family "Bacterial small subunit ribosomal RNA", at positions 28 to 507 of the family's 1533-position model. The record is from RNAcentral.
GACGAACGCUGGCGGCGUGCCUAAUACAUGCAAGUAGAACGCUGAAGGAGGAGCUUGCUUCUCUGGAUGAGUUGCGAACGGGUGAGUAACGCGUAGGUAACCUGCCUGGUAGCGGGGGAUAACUAUUGGAAACGAUAGCUAAUACCGCAUAAUAGUAGAUGUUGCAUGACAUUUGCCUAAAAGGUGCAAUUGCAUCACUACCAGAUGGACCUGCGUUGUAUUAGCUAGUUGGUGGGGUAACGGCUCACCAAGGCGACGAUACAUAGCCGACCUGAGAGGGUGAUCGGCCACACUGGGACUGAGACACGGCCCAGACUCCUACGGGAGGCAGCAGUAGGGAAUCUUCGGCAAUGGACGGAAGUCUGACCGAGCAACGCCGCGUGAGUGAAGAAGGUCUUCGGAUCGUAAAGCUCUGUUGUAAGAGAAGAACGAGUGUGAGAGUGGAAAGUUCACACUGUGACGGUAUCUUACCAGAAAGGGACGGCUAACUACGUG